RNAcentral lists this small nuclear RNA (23 nucleotides) under Arabidopsis thaliana (thale cress). RNAcentral's name for it is "snRNA_10762". The record is from RNAcentral. Lineage: Eukaryota; Viridiplantae; Streptophyta; Magnoliopsida; Brassicales; Brassicaceae.
AGUAUUCUAUCUCUAAUCCAUAA